CCUACGGGAGGCAGCAGUGGGGAAUAUUGGGCAAUGGGCGCAAGCCUGACCCAGCAACGCCGCGUGAAGGAAGAAGGCUUUCUGGUUGUAAACUUCUUUUCUCAGGGACGAAGCAAGUGACGGUACCUGCGGAAUAAGCCACGGCUAACUACGUGCCACAAGCAGCGGUAAUACGUCGGUCGCAAGCGUUAGCCGGAUUUACUGGGUGUAAAGGGCGUGUAGGCGGGACUGCGAGUCAGAUGUGAAAACCACGGGCUCAACCUGUGGCCUGCAUUUGAAACUGUAGUUCUUGAGUACUGGAGAGGCAGACGGAAUGCGUAGUGUAGCGGUGAAAUGCGUAGAUAUUAGGAGGAACACCAGUGGCGAAGGCGGUAUGCUGGACAGCAACUGACGCUGAGGCGCGAAAGCGUGGGGAGCAAACAGGAUUAGAUACCCGGGUAGUC
RNAcentral lists this ribosomal RNA (443 nucleotides) under uncultured bacterium. RNAcentral's name for it is "partial 16S ribosomal RNA". It matches the Rfam family "Bacterial small subunit ribosomal RNA", at positions 338 to 795 of the family's 1533-position model. The record is from RNAcentral.